This is a non-coding RNA of Zonotrichia albicollis (white-throated sparrow), 1428 nucleotides long. Lineage: Eukaryota; Metazoa; Chordata; Aves; Passeriformes; Passerellidae. The record is from RefSeq and is a predicted model, not a curated record.
CCGCGGCCCGGCCUCUGCCCGGCUGUAGGCGGGCCCCGGCGGCGCCGUGCCUCGGUCAGCGCACGUGGAAGGUGCUGGACACGGAGUUUGAGUGGAAAAAUAAAACAAGAAGAGUUUAAAAUUACAUUUAAACAGUCUGUCCCUGGGCACCUUUCCCGUCUAAGUCUGGCCUGGCUCCAUGGGUGCAGUGCCUGCGCUUUGCCAGACUGCAGGCAAAGAACGCUAAGGAAUGAAGAACACGUGGCUCCUACAGCCAGUGUGUGUGUCUAUUGUAAAACACAUGUCAUGAACAUCAGCAGAGCCCUCGGAAGUGAGGGCAGCAAGGCCAAGAGCAGCAGGUCUUGCCUCUGGCAGGGUUACAUGUGAGCUGGACGCCUGGAUGUGCUGGUGAAGGAGUAAAAGCUUCCAGGGACGCCUAUGAAGACCAGUCGGGGAAAUGCAGUUUGCAAGUCAGCGAGGUGUACCAUGCCAGGGAUGACAUGAGACAAAGCAGAAGCCUAGCAGUCUGAAGCAGAUAAAAAAUAAGGAUGGACAAUAUGUUGGAAAGACAUUUACAUAAGCAGUGAGCAGUAGUGAACAGCAAAAACCAGUCUGAAGAUUUAGUGAAUAACUGCUUAUUUCAAAGACUCAGCAAAUGUCAAGCAACAACAAAAAAAAGUACAUUCUAUCCAGCAACCUUGAACAUGGAUCUGGGUCUUCCUGGCAUCCCAUAAUUCUGUGCACCAUCUUUAUGAUUCCCAUGCUUCAGGAGACACUGUAGUCUUUCAGCAACGAUCUGACAUUGGAGGAAGUGGGUGGGUCUUUCAGUAUUCUGUUCAGUAAGUUCUGCAAUCUUGACAGUAAGUUUUGCACUCUCUGAUUGUGAAUGGUGAGGACCAGAAACAUCCCCAAGCCACCAAGAAGAGCUUAUAACUGAAAACAGGUUCAAAUUUAAAUAUGCAAACAAUCUCAGUGACCACAGCCUUCCCACUCCUUCCUUCUGUUGGGCAUUUCUGAUCCUUGCACUCUGCAACUGAUUGAGCGUGAGUUCAGGCUGCUGUUCAGAGUCAAAAGAAACUGUCUUAGAGACAGCAAAGAAAUGCACCAGGAGAGGUGGAGGAGAUACAGGAGAAUGUGACCAGCCCCAGUCAAGUACUUAAAGGUAGUUUGAUCCCACAGUUCUUUGUUAAAGCAAGGAGCCUGAGAAAUAAAAUCCCACAAAAAACCGUCUGUGUUAGAAUCCAGUCCCAGCAGGUAAACAAGAAAAUUUUUCCUCAAGAUCAGAGUAAAAGGAACAGAAAUUGUUCCUCAAGAACAGAGUAGAAGAGGACCUUCUGCACCUGCAUUUUUUAGCUGCUUUGCCAGAGAGCCUGUACUGAGCCUGAGAGAGAGUUCAAGCAGAAGAAUUUAUGCUCUGAUCCAGAAUUUGGUACAUGUAUCUGUGCCCAU